AGAGUACAGCUCAGUGGUAGAGUGUGUGCUUAGCAUGCACAGGGUCUUGAGUUCAAUCCCCAGUAUGUCUG
RNAcentral lists this transfer RNA (71 nucleotides) under Camelus bactrianus (Bactrian camel). It matches the Rfam family "tRNA". From Rfam's summary of the family: Transfer RNA (tRNA) molecules are approximately 80 nucleotides in length. Their secondary structure includes four short double-helical elements and three loops (D, anti-codon, and T loops). Lineage: Eukaryota; Metazoa; Chordata; Mammalia; Artiodactyla; Camelidae. The record is from Rfam by way of RNAcentral. RNAcentral also lists the same sequence under 1 other name.